This 253-nucleotide ribosomal RNA is filed under the name uncultured bacterium. RNAcentral's name for it is "partial 16S ribosomal RNA". It matches the Rfam family "Bacterial small subunit ribosomal RNA", at positions 524 to 776 of the family's 1533-position model. The record is from RNAcentral.
UACGAAGGGAGCGAGCGUUGUUCGGAAUUACUGGGCGUAAAGCGUGUUUAGGCGGAUCUGUAAGUCAGAUGUGAAAUCCCCCGGCUUAACUGGGGAGGGUCGUUUGAAACUGCAGAUCUUGAGUCUCGGGGAGGUGAGUGGAAUUCCCAGUGUAGAGGUGAAAUUCGUAGAUAUUGGGAGGAACACCAGAGGCGAAAGCGACUCACUAACCGAGCACUGACGCUGUUACACGAAAGCGUGGGGAGCAAACAGG